RNAcentral lists this long non-coding RNA (670 nucleotides) under Spirodela polyrhiza (greater duckweed). RNAcentral's name for it is "long non-coding RNA (SPOL_LNC000211)". The record is from RNAcentral. Lineage: Eukaryota; Viridiplantae; Streptophyta; Magnoliopsida; Alismatales; Araceae.
UCUGGUCGGUGCCUCCGUGGGCAGCCGGUAAGGUGGCUUCUGUGAGAGGGUAUGGCUUCACAAGCAACGAAGAAAACAGGAGAGUCAGAGAACACAGCGACUCCCGCACGAUACGAUAAAGAAAGUAUUGAAAGCACACGGCACAGCCCCCCAGUUCAACUAGUUCUAUAGCAUCUUCCUCUACAAGCGGGGGAAGGGGGACGACGAGGCCCUGAGAAGAAUGCCGGCCAACCCACACCUCGAGUUGAAGGGAUGUCUUGGGAUCGCCGCCAGGCAGGUAAGACGAUACGGAGGGGAAGUUCGGGAGAGAGAGAGGCCUUUGACGUAAUGGGAGCCCGCCGUCAAUCUCUUCCUCUGGUUCGGUCAUUUCUUUUGCAGAACUGUACAGUUGAUUCAGAGGUGGGACUGAUGGCGGAUGGCCGACAUGCUCACAACAAUCACGAUGAGACGUUCCGAGGGGAAGAAGGGAAGGUUCACAAAGGGAAGAAGAAUGGGGGAGAGAGGUUAAGGAGAGAUUGCUUGGAGAUUAUGGACGGUUGGCUUCCUGCCCAUCUAUGAAAAAAAUUGUAGAAAGUGGUCCGAGGGAAAGCUCUGAUCCCUCUAGUAAUCCCAUAGCGGAGUUUCCAAGCCGGGAGCCUCUGGCACCACCGCAAGCCAGGCUUGAUCGGCC